CGUGUCCCAGCGGUACAUCAUAGAUGUUCCUGCAACAAGGAAGCAGAGUGACUUCAAACUCUUCCUUGCAAAUGAUGAGAACAAGACACAACUCUGUAAACUGCUACUUGAGGUGUCGGUCAGCAAAGCAUCUGCAUCACGGCUGGAGAAAUGUGGAACAGCAGUGGUAGUCGUUGAAGGCAAAUCAUAUCAGUUGGAGUCAUCGGGUGGCAAUGUGAGCACAUGUGAGAUACCUCAGGUGGAGUCAACCCAGGAACAGACUGACACCCAGAUUGUUCUGCACCUGCUGUAUGCCGCUCAACUGGGGCACAAGGUGGCUGUGAAAACUUGGUGAUCAGUGGUCUGUGGAGCCAGAUGUGGUGGAGGACAUCGAGGCAUUUAGAUUGUGUAAUGUAUGGCCAGGCCCGUGAAAAAUCUGUGAACAACAUGCGCAGCAUCAUAGUGAAAAAAAAUGAUUGGAGAGGAUGAGACCACCAGAUCCAAGGUGGAUCUGUCCCAGCUCCUGCACUGCAGAGACAACCUGGUCCCACAGAUCAACCGUGUCAACCACCGUCUGGCCAUCUACAAGAGAGCAGCCACACCGAUAUUCUGGUGUCCCAAGCCCCAUGAUCCUG
Alosa sapidissima (American shad) is the source of this 614-nucleotide long non-coding RNA. RefSeq lists it as uncharacterized. NCBI's taxonomy places the organism in Eukaryota, Metazoa, Chordata, Actinopteri, Clupeiformes, Clupeidae. The record is from RefSeq and is a predicted model, not a curated record. The transcript has 3 exons.